RNAcentral lists this ribosomal RNA (406 nucleotides) under uncultured bacterium. RNAcentral's name for it is "partial 16S ribosomal RNA". It matches the Rfam family "Bacterial small subunit ribosomal RNA", at positions 29 to 526 of the family's 1533-position model. The record is from RNAcentral.
AUUGAACGCUGGCGGCAGGCCUAACACAUGCAAGUCGAACGAGUGGCGGACGGGUGAGUAAUGUCUGGGAAACUGCCCGAUGGAGGGGGAUAAACACUGGAAACGGUAGCUUAUACCGCAUACCAUCGGAUGUGCCCAGAUGGGAUUAGCUAGUAGGUGGGGUAACGGCUCACCUAGGCGACGAUCCCUAGCUGGUCUGAGAGGAAGACCGGCCACACUGGACUUGGGAAAGGGUCCAGACGCCUCCGGGAGGCAGCAGUGGGGAAUAUUGCACAAGGGGCGAAAGCCUGAUGCGGCAAUGCCGGGGGUAUAUAGAAGGCGUUCGGGUGGUAAAGUACGUUCAGCGAGGAGGCGUUACUCGCAGAAGAAGCACCGGCUAACUCCGUGCCAGCCGCCGCGGUAAUAC